Molecule: long non-coding RNA, 1265 nt
Organism: Scophthalmus maximus (turbot)
Lineage: Eukaryota; Metazoa; Chordata; Actinopteri; Pleuronectiformes; Scophthalmidae
Exons: 2
Source: RefSeq, a predicted model, not a curated record
CUGAUUUUCCCUCUUCAUUGCUUCAGUGUCGUGUGCGAGCCUCAGCUGACCGUAUUCACUGGAGCUGUUUCAUAUGAACAAUUAAAGCUCCAUGUGGAGAAGUUUGGAAGGGAUCUACCUAUUUGGAAUUCCAGCGUUUUGCAAAUUUUUCAACACAGCAACUAUUUCAGGAUGAUACAAAAGUAUAAAAAAAAAAGGCUUUGUCAAUGUCAUGCCAAAUAGAACUGUGAAAAAACACCAACACGUGAACCUGCCACAUCAAAAUUGGUAAUAAAUAAUGAAGAAGUGUUUGAGUCUCACCGUGUACUGCCCGAAGCUGUUUCUCUGUCUGAAGAGGAGGAAGCACACGAUGGCAGAGAUGACUGUUUGGGCCAAUGUGAAGAGAAGGAGGGAUGACUUCAUUCCUCUGCUCAGCUUCUGUUGUGAAGGACAUACAGAACUCAAACUAACUUUGGUCGUCGGGACCACACAAGAGCUCACCAUCAGCUCACACACGCCACAAGACACACGUUUAAGCUGUGAGCCGGUGACGUUUGGAUGUAAUGAAGGGGACACCAACCAUGGCGUAGUGUUUCUCACUGCAGCUGUCUUGGACCGUUUUGACACAGGGCACCUCAGGGUUCUUGUCCAUGUCGAUGGAGUAGAUGAUCACAGCCACCACCGACAGCACAGUGGACACCACGCUCACCAUCAGACACAGAUGCAGCUGAUGAAGACAAACACACGAGAUCAGAAUCCUGUCUGGACACUGGUUCACUCUUUUAUGAUAAAUCAGUGGCCAGCGUCAGAACAGAGAUUGCAACCGACCUGAUAAAAGGGAGUCUUUCCUUGCUACUGUAGCCAAGUGUUUGCCCACGUGGGGGAUUGUUGGGUCUUUAUAUGAAUACACUUGACUUGACUUGACCUGUCAAUCAGUUCCCACCCUGAAAUAUUUACCCCGUAUAAUUCACUGUAAAUUCGAAAAUAAAAUGAUGGGACGCUUUAGACACACGAGACACUGAUCAGUGGAUAAUUAGUUCUCAUUUUGUGUUUGAUCGCACUGAUGGAAAAUUCCAAUCAUAGUUAUUAUGUUACAUAGAGAGGAGAUUGUGUGAAUCUUGAGGGAGCAUGAUGUUUGUGCUCCUGAAACCAAAUCCACCUUCAUAAGUUGGAUGCUGCCUAUUUCAUGUAUUUAUCCAGCUCCUACAAUACGUCACUAGAAGUUGGAAAUGAUACAAUAUAUUGUCAGUUCUGUUUUGUAACAAAAUAAAGUUUAUUGAUUCAGA